GACGAACGCUGGCGGCGUGCUUAACACAUGCAAGUCGAACGGAAAGACCCUGCGUUUGUGGGGUGCUCGAGUGGCGAACGGGGGAGUAACACGUGAGUAAACUGCCCUUGACUUUGGGAUAACUUCAGGAAACUGGGGCUAAUACCGGAUAGGAGCUCCUGCAGCAUGGUGGGGGUUGGAAAGUUUCGGCGGUUGGGGAUGGACUCGCGGCUUAUCAGCUUGUUGGUGGGGUAGUGGCAUACAAAGGCUUUGACGGGUAGCCGGCCUGAGAGGGUGACCGGCGACCUUGCGACUGAGAGACGGCGCAGACGCCUAUGGGAGGCAGCAGUGGGGAAUAUUGCACAAUGGGCGGAAGCCUGAUGCAGCAACCCCGCGUGCGUGAUGACGUCCUACGGGUUAUGAACCGCUUUCGCCUGUGACGAAGCGUGAUUGACGGUAAUGGGUAAAGAAGCACCGGCUAACUACGUG
RNAcentral lists this ribosomal RNA (468 nucleotides) under uncultured bacterium. Its description in RNAcentral is "partial 16S ribosomal RNA". It matches the Rfam family "Bacterial small subunit ribosomal RNA", at positions 28 to 507 of the family's 1533-position model. The record is from RNAcentral.